Molecule: non-coding RNA, 1645 nt
Filed under: Saccharomyces cerevisiae (brewer's yeast)
Lineage: Eukaryota; Fungi; Ascomycota; Saccharomycetes; Saccharomycetales; Saccharomycetaceae
Description: 15S ribosomal RNA
Rfam family: Bacterial small subunit ribosomal RNA
Source: RNAcentral
GUAAAAAUUUUAUAAGAAUAUGAUGUUGGUUCAGAUUAAGCGCUAAAUAAGGACAUGACACAUGCGAAUCAUACGUUUAUUAUUGAUAAGAUAAUAAAUAUGUGGUGUAAACGUGAGUAAUUUUAUUAGGAAUUAAUGAACUAUAGAAUAAGCUAAAUACUUAAUAUAUUAUUAUAUAAAAAUAAUUUAUAUAAUAAAAAGGAUAUAUAUAUAAUAUAUAUUUAUCUAUAGUCAAGCCAAUAAUGGUUUAGGUAGUAGGUUUAUUAAGAGUUAAACCUAGCCAACGAUCCAUAAUCGAUAAUGAAAGUUAGAACGAUCACGUUGACUCUGAAAUAUAGUCAAUAUCUAUAAGAUACAGCAGUGAGGAAUAUUGGACAAUGAUCGAAAGAUUGAUCCAGUUACUUAUUAGGAUGAUAUAUAAAAAUAUUUUAUUUUAUUUAUAAAUAUUUAAUAUUUAUAAUAAUAAUAAUAAUAAUAUAUAUAUAUAAAUUGAUUAAAAAUAAAAUCCAUAAAUAAUUAAAAUAAUGAUAUUAAUUACCAUAUAUAUUUUAUAUGGAUAUAUAUAUUAAUAAUAAUAUUAAUUUAUUAUUAUUAAUAAUAUAUUUUAAUAGUCCUGACUAAUAUUUGUGCCAGCAGUCGCGGUAACACAAAGAGGGCGAGCGUUAAUCAUAAUGGUUUAAAGGAUCCGUAGAAUGAAUUAUAUAUUAUAAUUUAGAGUUAAUAAAAUUAAUUAAAGAAUUAUAAUAGUAAAGAUGAAAUAAUAAUAAUAAUUAUAAGACUAAUAUAUGUGAAAAUAUUAAUUAAAUAUUAACUGACAUUGAGGGAUUAAAACUAGAGUAGCGAAACGGAUUCGAUACCCGUGUAGUUCUAGUAGUAAACUAUGAAUACAAUUAUUUAUAAUAUAUAUUAUAUAUAAAUAAUAAAUGAAAAUGAAAGUAUUCCACCUGAAGAGUACGUUAGCAAUAAUGAAACUCAAAACAAUAGACGGUUACAGACUUAAGCAGUGGAGCAUGUUAUUUAAUUCGAUAAUCCACGACUAACCUUACCAUAUUUUGAAUAUUAUAAUAAUUAUUAUAAUUAUUAUAUUACAGGCGUUACAUUGUUGUCUUUAGUUCGUGCUGCAAAGUUUUAGAUUAAGUUCAUAAACGAACAAAACUCCAUAUAUAUAAUUUUAAUUAUAUAUAAUUUUAUAUUAUUUAUUAAUAUAAAGAAAGGAAUUAAGACAAAUCAUAAUGAUCCUUAUAAUAUGGGUAAUAGACGUGCUAUAAUAAAAUGAUAAUAAAAUUAUAUAAAAUAUAUUUAAUUAUAUUUAAUUAAUAAUAUAAAACAUUUUAAUUUUUAAUAUAUUUUUUUAUUAUAUAUUAAUAUGAAUUAUAAUCUGAAAUUCGAUUAUAUGAAAAAAGAAUUGCUAGUAAUACGUAAAUUAGUAUGUUACGGUGAAUAUUCUAACUGUUUCGCACUAAUCACUCAUCACGCGUUGAAACAUAUUAUUAUCUUAUUAUUUAUAUAAUAUUUUUUAAUAAAUAUUAAUAAUUAUUAAUUUAUAUUUAUUUAUAUCAGAAAUAAUAUGAAUUAAUGCGAAGUUGAAAUACAGUUACCGUAGGGGAACCUGCGGUGGGCUUAUAAAUAUCUUAAAUAUUCUUAC